UACGUAGGGGGCGAGCGUUGUCCGGAGUUACUGGGCGUAAAGCGUGCGCAGGCGGUUCGUUGUGUCGGUGGUGAAAUCCCCGGGCUUAACCUGGGAAUGGCCAUGGAAACUGGCGAACUGGAGUGCGGCAGAGGGGGGUGGAAUUCCGCGUGUAGCAGUGAAAUGCGUAGAGAUGCGGAGGAACACCGAUGGCGAAGGCAGCCCCCUGGGCUAGCACUGACGCUCAGGCACGAAAGCGUGGGGAGCAAACAGG
RNAcentral lists this ribosomal RNA (253 nucleotides) under uncultured bacterium. Its description in RNAcentral is "partial 16S ribosomal RNA". It matches the Rfam family "Bacterial small subunit ribosomal RNA", at positions 524 to 776 of the family's 1533-position model. The record is from RNAcentral.